AAUAGAUACCCUGGUAGUCCACGCCGUAAACGAUGAGUGCUAAGUGUUAGAGGGUUUCCGCCCUUUAGUGCUGCAGCUAACGCAUUAAGCACUCCGCCUGGGGAGUACGGCCGCAAGGCUGAAACUCAAAGGAAUUGACGGGGGCCCGCACAAGCGGUGGAGCAUGUGGCUUAAUUCGAAGCAACGCGAAGAACCUUACCAGGUCUUGACAUCCUCUGCCAACCCUAGAGAUAGGGCGUUCCCCUUCGGGGGACAGAGUGACAGGUGGUGCAUGGUUGUCGUCAGCUCGUGUCGUGAGAUGUUGGGUUAAGUCCCGCAACGAGCGCAACCCUUGAUCUUAGUUGCCAGCAUUCAGUUGGGCACUCUAAGGUGACUGCCGGUGACAAACCGGAGGAAGGUGGGGAUGACGUCAAAUCAUCAUGCCCCUUAUGACCUGGGCUACACACGUGCUACAAUGGAUGGUACAAAGAGCUGCGAACCCGCGAGGGUAAGCGAAUCUCAUAAAGCCAUUCUCAGUUCGGAUUGGUA
RNAcentral lists this ribosomal RNA (528 nucleotides) under uncultured bacterium. Its description in RNAcentral is "bacterial SSU rRNA". It matches the Rfam family "Bacterial small subunit ribosomal RNA", at positions 777 to 1303 of the family's 1533-position model. The record is from RNAcentral.